UGGAGAGUUUGAUCCUGGCUCAGGGUGAACGCUGGCGGCAUGCCUAAUACAUGCAAGUCGAGGGAGAAUCCGCCUCCGGGCGGAGGAGACCGGCGAACGGGUGAGUAACACGUUGGUAUCUACCCCGAAGACAGGGAUAGCCCCGGGAAACCGGGAUUAAUACCUGAUAGCCUCCAGUACUUAGUAGUGGAAUUUUCAACGGGCGAUUUCCAAGCUUUCAUUUACCCCGAGUGUUUGGAAAUUGGAAACCCGUAUUGGAAAUUUCAGACCAAGUAUUGGAGGAAAGCUCCGGCGCUUCGGGAGGAGCCUGCGGGUGAUUAGCUGGUUGGUAAGGUAACGGCUUACCAAGGCGAUGAUCACUAGCUGAUUUGAGAGGAUGAUCAGCCACAUUGGGACUGAGACACGGCCCAAACUCCUACGGGAGGCUGCAGUAGGGAAUCUUCCACAAUGGGCGAAAGCCUGAUGGAGCAAUGCCGCGUGCAGGAUGAAGGCUCUCGGGUCGUAAACUGCUUUUCUGGCCGAAGAAUAUGACGGUAGGCCAGGAAUAAGCCUUGGCUAACUCCGUGCCAGCAGCCGCGGUAAUACGGAGAAGGCGAGCGUUACCCGGAAUUACUGGGCGUAAAGCGUUGCGCAGGCGGAUAUGUAAGUGAAAUGUGAAAUCCCGCGGCUCAACCGCGGGCGUAUAUUUCAAACUACAUAUCUAGAGGGCAGUAGAGGUGAGCGGAAUUGCUUAUGUAGGAGUGAUAUCCGUAGAUAUGAGCAAGAACACCAAUGGCGAAGGCAGCUCACUGGGCUGACCCUGACGCUGAGGCACGAAAGCGUGGGGAGCGAACCGGAUUAGAUACCCGGGUAGUCCACGCCGUAAACGAUGGAUGCUAGCUGUUGGGGAGUAUCGACCCUCCUCAGUAGCAAAGCUAACGCGUUAAGCAUCCCGCCUGGGGAGUACGGCCGCAAGGCUAAAACUCAAAGGAAUUGACGGGGACCCGCACAAGCGGUGGAGCGUGUGGUUUAAUCCGAUGAUACGCGCAGAAUCUUACCCAGACUUGACAUCCUGGUCGUAGUUCUUAGAGAUAAGAACGUCAGUCCGGCUGGACCAGUGACAGGUGAUGCAUGGCCGUCGUCAGCUCGUGUCGUGAGAUGUCAGCUUAAGUGCUUUAACGAGCGCAACCCUCAUGGUUCGUUGGACUUUUCUAACCAGACUGCCUCGGCAACGGGGAGGAAGGAGGGGAUGACGUCAGGUCGGCAUGUCCCUUACGUCUGGGGCAACACACACGCUACAAUGGCCGGUACAACGGGAAGCGAAGUCGCGAGACGGAGCCAAACCCACUCAAAGCCGGUCCCAGUUCGGAUUGGAGGCUGAAACCCGCCUCCAUGAAGUCGGAAUCGCUAGUAACCGUAGGUCAGCACACUGCGGUGAAUACGUUCUCGGGUCUUGUACACACCGCCUGUCACAUCACGAAAGCUGUCAAUGUCCGAAGUCCUGCCAUAGGUGUAGGCCGAAGACAGGGGCAGUGAUUGGGGUGAAGUCCUA
This 1531-nucleotide ribosomal RNA is filed under the name Candidatus Saccharibacteria bacterium QS_5_54_17. RNAcentral describes it as "bacterial SSU rRNA". It matches the Rfam family "Bacterial small subunit ribosomal RNA". Lineage: Bacteria; Candidatus Saccharimonadota. The record is from RNAcentral.